Molecule: ribosomal RNA, 257 nt
Filed under: uncultured bacterium
Lineage: Bacteria
Description: partial 16S ribosomal RNA
Rfam family: Bacterial small subunit ribosomal RNA
Source: RNAcentral
UACGUAGGGUGCGAGCGUUGUCCGGAAUUAUUGGGCGUAAAGCGCGCGUAGGCGGCUUUUGUAAGUUAGAGGUGAAAGCCCGGAGCUCAACUCCGGAAUUGCCUUUAAGACUGCAUCGCUAGAAUCAUGGAGAGGUGAGUGGAAUUCCGAGUGUAGAGGUGAAAAUUCGUAGAUAUUCGGAAGAACACCAGUGGCGAAGGCGACUCACUGGACAUGUAUUGACGCUGAGGUGCGAAAAGCGUGGGGGAGCAAACAGG